UACAGAGGUGGCAAGCGUUGUUCGGAAUUACUGGGCGUAAAGGGCGCGUAGGCGGCCGCCUAAGUCAGACGUGAAAUCCCCAAGCUUAACUUGGGAACUGCGUCUGAUACUGGGUGGCUUGAGUUCGGGAGAGGAAUGCAGAAUUCCAGGUGUAGCGGUGAAAUGCGUAGAUAUCUGGAGGAAUACCGGUGGCGAAGGCGGCAUCCUGGACCGAUAUUGACACUGAGGAGCGAAAGCCAGGGGAGCAAACGGG
Molecule: ribosomal RNA, 253 nt
Filed under: uncultured bacterium
Lineage: Bacteria
Description: partial 16S ribosomal RNA
Rfam family: Bacterial small subunit ribosomal RNA
Source: RNAcentral